Molecule: long non-coding RNA, 1661 nt
Organism: Rhea pennata
Lineage: Eukaryota; Metazoa; Chordata; Aves; Rheiformes; Rheidae
Exons: 2
Source: RefSeq, a predicted model, not a curated record
CUGAGUCACAUCACCUUGCGAGGGAAGGCCGCAGCCUGCCCCCUCGGAGCGCAGCAGCGCAGGCCGGGCAGCCGCCAGCUCCAGCCCGGAGGAGCUUUUUGCGUGGUUGCACAUGACGCCGUGUGGAGGUAUCACACUGGCAAGACCACAAGAAACCAGAGCUCUUCCAGUUGUGUAGCUGUCAUAGAUGGGAGUCAUUACUGGACUUACAGAAACCUCUAAGGUCCUCAGCCUUCCAAUGGAAGGUAGAAAGGAGAGAGUAGAGUGCAAAUAGCCCCUCGUAUCUGGUCCAAAACAACCACGCAAUGCCUGUCGCUGCGCUGCAAACAGUCGUGUUUGUAGAACCUCUGCUCAGUGAAGUCUCUCUCGCACGCACGUGUAUUCCUGAGGGAGCAGCACUGCAGUCUCUCAGGUCGUCCGCUCAAACCCUGAAUGCUUUUGUGUGUGCCAGCCUUAUAGAUGCCAGGGAGGAAGUGGGCAAGGCUGAUGAAAACAGGAGCUGGGGUGAACUAUAUGUCCUGUUGGGACUCUUCCUUGAGGGCAACUGCUUGCUGUCCUGUGGUGUGAGGUGAUGCUCUUAGGAGAGCUGUGGCACGGUAAGAAUUACCAUCUUUUUCUUCCAGAGCCACACAGACUAUAGCAGCCUUCCCCCUGGAGUGUUGCCUGAAUCCAAAACCAAAAUGGCUAAUGGGUUUAACCUAGCUGCCUUCCCCUGCAUCUUAGAGGUUUCUUGUGUGUGUAAACGGUCCAAUAUGGAAACGCAUUUUCCUUUCCCAAGCUCUCCCGCUUGUAAUGCAUCCUGCAAAUAUGCAGAUUUUGUGCUCAAUUAUCCUUUUCCAGCGUCUGUUCCAAAAAAAUACUAUCUUUUCCUGGCCAUCCUUUGCUGAUGGUCUGGUUUUAUUACCCCUUUACACUGGCCCUCAGUAUCAAUACUGCAGAGCUGUCAGCAGUGCACUGGGUAUGGGCACCCCUUAAUGCCAGCCCUGCUCCUCCACCUGACCCCAACUGUGCCUUCAAGUGUCCUUUUGUUUGAAGCCAUACAAGAUGUCAGGGAGAAGCUGGCCAAGGAUGAGCUCUAGUGCACUGAAACACAACAAAGCACAACUUUUAUCUAUACUCAUGCCAACUCAGCUUUUCAGGAGACUCAGUCUACAGCUCUCUCCCCUUGGCUGAGCAGUAAAAUCUAUUGCAAUGGCUGUACUUGCUCAUCAGAAAACAUGAGCUCAGCUUGUCUUUGUCUAGGAGCCUCUGGGCAGCAAUCAAAACUUCAUAGAAAACAACUGGGUAUUAAGCUCCACCCUGACAGAGGACAAUUCAGACGGCAGCCGAUGUGUGAAAGUCCUGCAGAUGUCCACAGUGGUCUGGAAAAAGCCAUUUCUGCAUCUUCUGUCUGCAGAGGAGAAUUUGAGGGAAAUUGCACGUUUCUCAGAACAAGGAAAGUUGAAGCAGGUUUCUUGCAUUAAAAUUGGACAUUGUUUAAGCCAAAAAAAAUCUUUUGUUGGAGGGGAUUGUGGAAAGAAAACUGCUAACCAUCUUUGUAGGACUGGUUUAGAAAGAAAAUGCCAAACAACCGUAAUGGGACCAUGAUGUGAUACCAACUAACUGUUUUCUCUUUAGUAGUGUUCUUACUAUAAAAUAUAAGGCGCAUUUCAUGUCUAAAA